CUGUUUUGAUAACAGUAAUGUCCCUUUAGUUCAAAGUUACCAGCUAUCAAAACAA
MicroRNA precursor from Bison bison bison, 55 nucleotides. NCBI's taxonomy places the organism in Eukaryota, Metazoa, Chordata, Mammalia, Artiodactyla, Bovidae. The record is from Ensembl.